UGGGGGAUAUUGCACAAUGGGCGAAAGCCUGAUGCAGCGACGCCGCGUGGGGGAUGAAGGCCUUCGGGUUGUAAACUUCUUUUGCUCUGAACACGGCAUGCUUUUGGGGUGUGUUGAGUGUAGGGGUUGAUUAGCGCCGGCUAACUACGUGCCAGCAGCCGCGGUAAUACGUAGGGCGCGAGCGUUGUCCGGAAUUAUUGGGCGUAAAGGGCUUGUAGGUGGCUGGUUGCGUCUGUCGUGAAAGCUCAUGGCUUAACUGUGGGUUUGCGGUGGGUACGGGCUGGCUUGAGUGCAGUAGGGGAGGCUGGAAUUCCUGGUGUAGCGGUGGAAUGCACAGAUAUCAGGAGGAAUACCGGUGGCGAAGGCGGGUCUCUGGGCUGUUACUGACGCUGAGGAGCGAAAGCGUGGGGAGCGAACAGG
Molecule: ribosomal RNA, 420 nt
Filed under: Fusobacteriota bacterium
Lineage: Bacteria; Fusobacteriati; Fusobacteriota
Description: Fusobacteria bacterium partial 16S ribosomal RNA
Rfam family: Bacterial small subunit ribosomal RNA
Source: RNAcentral